GUUAACGUAGCAUAAUCCGGCAUUGCAAAAGACCUAAACCCUUUCUAUAGAGAUUCAAAUCCUCUCGUUAACU
This 73-nucleotide transfer RNA is filed under the name Osteocephalus planiceps. RNAcentral's name for it is "tRNA-Leu". It matches the Rfam family "tRNA". From Rfam's summary of the family: Transfer RNA (tRNA) molecules are approximately 80 nucleotides in length. The record is from RNAcentral. Lineage: Eukaryota; Metazoa; Chordata; Amphibia; Anura; Hylidae.